This 32-nucleotide ribosomal RNA is filed under the name Didymella glomerata. RNAcentral describes it as "partial 18S ribosomal RNA". The record is from RNAcentral. Lineage: Eukaryota; Fungi; Ascomycota; Dothideomycetes; Pleosporales; Didymellaceae.
UGUCUUUUAAGUACCUUACGUUUCCUCGGCGG